ACAAUGGACGAAAGUCUGAUGGAGCAACGCCGCGUGAGUGAAGAAGGGUUUCGGCUCGUAAAAACUCUGUUGUUAAAGAAGAACAUAUCUGAGAGUAACUGUUCAGGUAUUGACGGUAUUUAACCAGAAAGCCCACGGCUAACUACGUGCCAGCAGCCGCGGUAAUACGUAGGUGGCAAGCGUUGUCCGGAUUUAUUGGGCGUAAAGCGAGCGCAGGCGGUUUUAAGUUCUGAUGUGAAAGCCUUCGGCUCAACCGAAGAAGUGCAUCGGAAACUGGGAAACUUGAGUGCAGAAGAGGACAGUGGGACUCCAUGUGUAGCGGUGAAAUGCGUAGAUAUAUGGAAGAACACCAGUGGCGAAGGCGGCUGUCUGGUCUGUAACUGACGCUGAGGCUCGAAAGUAUGGGUAGCAAACAGGAUUAGAUACCCUGGUAG
This 434-nucleotide ribosomal RNA is filed under the name uncultured bacterium. RNAcentral describes it as "bacterial SSU rRNA". It matches the Rfam family "Bacterial small subunit ribosomal RNA", at positions 368 to 793 of the family's 1533-position model. The record is from RNAcentral.